CCUACGGGAGGCUGCAGUGAGGAAUAUUGGUCAAUGGACGAGAGUCUGAACCAGCCAAGUAGCGUGAAGGAUGAAUGCCCUAUGGGUUGUAAACUUCUUUUAUAUGGGAAUAAAACGUUGCAUGCGUGCGAUUUUGUAUGUAUUAUAUGAAUAAGGAUCGGCUAAAACCGUGCCAGCAGCCGCGGUAAUACGGAGGAUCCGAGCGUUAUCCGGAUUUAUUGGGUUUAAAGGGCGCGUAGGUGGAUUGUUAAGUCAGUUGUGAAAGUUUGCGGCUCAACCGUAAAAUUGCAGUUGAUACUGGCAGUCUUGAGUACAGUAGAGGUAGGCGGAAUUCGUGGUGUAGCGGUGAAAUGCUUAGAUAUCACGAAGAACUCCGAUUGCGAAGGCAGCCUACUAGACUGCAACUGACACUGAUGCUCGAAAGUGUGGGUAUCAAACAGGAUUAGAUACCCGAGUAGUC
RNAcentral lists this ribosomal RNA (460 nucleotides) under uncultured bacterium. RNAcentral's name for it is "partial 16S ribosomal RNA". It matches the Rfam family "Bacterial small subunit ribosomal RNA", at positions 338 to 795 of the family's 1533-position model. The record is from RNAcentral.